This 23-nucleotide non-coding RNA is filed under the name Arabidopsis thaliana (thale cress). The record is from RNAcentral. Lineage: Eukaryota; Viridiplantae; Streptophyta; Magnoliopsida; Brassicales; Brassicaceae.
UGUAUUGUAAUAUGUCCCUAUGA